Long non-coding RNA from Salvia miltiorrhiza (redroot sage), 416 nucleotides. RefSeq lists it as uncharacterized. The record is from RefSeq and is a predicted model, not a curated record. The transcript is spliced from 2 exons. Lineage: Eukaryota; Viridiplantae; Streptophyta; Magnoliopsida; Lamiales; Lamiaceae.
UGACCUUGCCAUGGUAAUAACAUCUCUUGCCAUAUCGUUGUUACAGAACUCAGUUUUCCUCGACAUUCUACUACACUUAAUCAUUAAAUUUGUUUCAGCCGGCAGUCUCUCUUGGAUCACAUCACUGUUCAACUUGCACCGCGUGCAGCGGAUGAGCUCUAGUAUGGGAAAGAUCAGGUAUGCCUCUGGGACUACUUCAAUAAGAAGAAGCAAACUAUAUUAAUUCCAUGGAGAAGAUGGUGCUAUUCUUGUCCCUGGUGGUGUAGUUAGUAUAAAAUUGGGCGAUAUGAAGAACCUAGUGCUUAUAUGGUGGGAGAAUUGUUAGACAUAAAUGUAUGUGAUAUUUAUGAAUAUUUGGAUGACAAUGUAUGAAUAUUUUGGAUGUUAUAUAAUAUAUGUUAUCGAUGGCAAUGUCA